GAUGAACGCUGGCGGCGUGCCUAAUACAUGCAAGUCGAGCGAACGGACGAGAAGCUUGCUUCUCUGAUGUUAGCGGCGGACGGGUGAGUAACACGUGGAUAACCUACCUAUAAGACUGGGAUAACUUCGGGAAACCGGAGCUAAUACCGGAUGAUAUUUUGAACCGCAUGGUUCAAAAGUGAAAGACGGUCUUGCUGUCACUUAUAGAUGGAUCCGCGCUGCAUUAGCUAGUUGGUAAGGUAACGGCUUACCAAGGCAACGAUGCAUAGCCGACCUGAGAGGGUGAUCGGCCACACUGGAACUGAGACACGGUCCAGACUCCUACGGGAGGCAGCAGUAGGGAAUCUUCGGCAAUGGGCGAAAGCCUGACGGAGCAAUGCCGCGUGAGUGAUGAAGGUCUUCGGAUCGUAAAACUCUGUUAUUAGGGAAGAACAUAUGUGUAAGUAACUGUGCACAUCUUGACGGUACCUAAUCAGAAAGCCACGGCUAACUACGUG
RNAcentral lists this ribosomal RNA (497 nucleotides) under uncultured bacterium. Its description in RNAcentral is "partial 16S ribosomal RNA". It matches the Rfam family "Bacterial small subunit ribosomal RNA", at positions 28 to 507 of the family's 1533-position model. The record is from RNAcentral.